Myotis brandtii (Brandt's bat) is the source of this 76-nucleotide non-coding RNA. The record is from Rfam. NCBI's taxonomy places the organism in Eukaryota, Metazoa, Chordata, Mammalia, Chiroptera, Vespertilionidae.
GGCGGUUCUCAGGUGACACCCCACGGAAUUGGGCUCCCUCCUCUCUGGUUCCAGGGUGUGUCAUCUGAGAACCACC